AGAGGCUGGCCGUGGACGGACCGCUCGCCAACCCGGUCAGGACCGGAAGGUAGCAGCCGUAACGAGUUUUUCCGGGUCGCGGUUCAGUCUCUCAC
Thalassospira alkalitolerans is the source of this 95-nucleotide non-coding RNA. The record is from Rfam. Lineage: Bacteria; Pseudomonadati; Pseudomonadota; Alphaproteobacteria; Rhodospirillales; Thalassospiraceae.